CCUACGGGAGGCAGCAGUGGGGAAUAUUGGGCAAUGGGCGCAAGCCUGACCCAGCAACGCCGCGUGAAGGAAGAAGGCUUUCGGGUUGUAAACUUCUUUUGACAGGGAAGAGAAGAAGACGGUACCUGUCGAAUAAGCAAGGGGUAACUCUGUGCAAGCAGCCGCGGUAAUACGGAGGUGGCAGGCGUUGUCCCGAUUUACUGGGUGGAAAGGGCGUGUAGCCGGGCUGACAAGUCAGAUGUGAAAUCCGGGGGCUUAACCACCGAACGGCAUUUGAAAUUGGUGGUCUUGAGUAUUGGAGAGGUAGGCUGAAUUCCUAGUGUAGCGGUGAAAUGCGUAGAUAUUAGGAGGAACACCGGUGGCGAAGGCGGCCUGCUGGACGACAACUGACGGGCAGGCGCGAAAGCGUGGGGAGCAAACAGGAUUAGAUACCCGGGUAGUC
This 442-nucleotide ribosomal RNA is filed under the name uncultured bacterium. RNAcentral's name for it is "partial 16S ribosomal RNA". It matches the Rfam family "Bacterial small subunit ribosomal RNA", at positions 338 to 795 of the family's 1533-position model. The record is from RNAcentral.